RNAcentral lists this ribosomal RNA (323 nucleotides) under uncultured Veillonellaceae bacterium. Its description in RNAcentral is "partial 16S ribosomal RNA". The record is from RNAcentral. Lineage: Bacteria; Bacillati; Bacillota; Negativicutes; Veillonellales; Veillonellaceae.
GGAGUAUGGACCGUGUCUCAGUUCCAUUGUGGCCGUUCAUCCUCUCAGACCGGCUACCGAUCGUCGGUUUGGUGGGCUCUUACCCCGCCAACUGCCUAAUCGGACGCAGGCUCCUCGCAAAGCGAUAAAUCUUUGGUGCAACCGUCAUGCGACAACUGCACAACAUCCGGUAUUAGCGUCCCUUUCGGAACGUUGUCCCCGUCUUUGCGGCAGAUUACCUGCGCUUUACUCACCCGUUCGCCACUGGCACCGAAGUGCCCGUUCGACUUGCAUGUGUUAAGCACGCCGCCAGCGUUCGUCCUCGAGCCACUGAUCAAACUACU